RNAcentral lists this ribosomal RNA (987 nucleotides) under Triticum aestivum (bread wheat). Its description in RNAcentral is "partial small subunit ribosomal RNA". Lineage: Eukaryota; Viridiplantae; Streptophyta; Magnoliopsida; Poales; Poaceae. The record is from RNAcentral.
AUGGAGGCGGCCGGCGCGGGGAAAGCGGCGGCGCCGGCGGCCGUGUGCGUGACGGGCGCGGGAGGCUUCAUCGCCUCGUGGCUCGUCCGGCGCCUCCUAUCCAGAGGAGACUACGCGGUGCAUGGCACCGUCCGUGAUCCCAGCGACCCCAAGAAUGAUCACCUGAGGGCGCUGGACGGCGCUGGCGAGCGGCUGCGGCUGUUCAAGGCCGACGUGCUGGACUACUCGAGCGUGGCGUCCGCCGUGGCCGGCUGCGUCGGCGUCUUUCACGUCGCCAGCCCCGUGCCCGCCGCCAAAUCCGCGGACCCCGAGGCGGAGCUGCUUGCCCCGGCGGUGGCCGGCACGCUGAACGUGCUCAGGGCCUGCCGCGAGGCCGGCGUCCGCCGCGUCGUUGUGGUAUCGUCGGUCGGCGCGGUCCUCAUCAACCCCAAGCUCCCCGAGGGCCCCGCCCUGGACGAACACUGCUGGUCCGACGAGGAGUACUGCAGAACAACUGAGAACUGGUACUGCCUGUCCAAGACACUAGCCGAGCGCGAGGCACUCUCCUACGCAGAGAAGACCGGGCUAAGCGUGGUGACCGUGUGUCCCUCGCUGGUGUUCGGCCCUCUGCUGCAGCCCACGGUGAACGCCAGCAGCUUGUUCCUCAUCAAGCACUUGAAAUGCGACGACGCGGACGCCAUGGAGGACAAGGUGAGGAACAUGGUGGACGUCAGGGACGUCACCGACGCCCUUGUGCUGGCGUACGAGAGCCCGGAGGCGGCCGGCCGCUACAUCUGCAGCGCACAUGCCAGGAAGGUCUCUGAAACGGUUUCCAUCGUCAGGACCAUGUAUCCGAACCUGAACUACCCAAAGAAGUACGUUCAAGUGGGAGAUCAGAAGGUGUUCAGCUCCGAGAAGCUGCGGAGGCUGGGGUGGAAGUUCAGGACGUUGGAGGAGACGCUCAAGGACAGCGUCGAGUCCUACAUGGCUGCGGGAAUCCUAAACUGA